This 620-nucleotide ribosomal RNA is filed under the name Escherichia coli. RNAcentral describes it as "partial 23S ribosomal RNA". It matches the Rfam family "Bacterial large subunit ribosomal RNA", at positions 2232 to 2846 of the family's 2925-position model. The record is from RNAcentral. Lineage: Bacteria; Pseudomonadati; Pseudomonadota; Gammaproteobacteria; Enterobacterales; Enterobacteriaceae.
CCCGUUAUCCGGGUUGCGGACAGUGUCUGGUGGGUAGUUUGACUGGGGCGGUCUCCUCCUAAAGAGUAACGGAGGAGCACGAAGGUUGGCUAAUCCUGGUCGGACAUCAGGAGGUUAGUGCAAUGGCAUAAGCCAGCUUGACUGCGAGCGUGACGGCGCGAGCAGGUGCGAAAGCAGGUCAUAGUGAUCCGGUGGUUCUGAAUGGAAGGGCCAUCGCUCAACGGAUAAAAGGUACUCCGGGGAUAACAGGCUGAUACCGCCCAAGAGUUCAUAUCGACGGCGGUGUUUGGCACCUCGAUGUCGGCUCAUCACAUCCUGGGGCUGAAGUAGGUCCCAAGGGUAUGGCUGUUCGCCAUUUAAAGUGGUACGCGAGCUGGGUUUAGAACGUCGUGAGACAGUUCGGUCCCUAUCUGCCGUGGGCGCUGGAGAACUGAGGGGGGCUGCUCCUAGUACGAGAGGACCGGAGUGGACGCAUCACUGGUGUUCGGGUUGUCAUGCCAAUGGCACUGCCCGGUAGCUAAAUGCGGAAGAGAUAAGUGCUGAAAGCAUCUAAGCACGAAACUUGCCCCGAGAUGAGUUCUCCCUGACUCCUUGAGAGUCCUGAAGGAACGUUGAAGACG